RNAcentral lists this ribosomal RNA (373 nucleotides) under uncultured organism. RNAcentral describes it as "bacterial SSU rRNA". It matches the Rfam family "Bacterial small subunit ribosomal RNA", at positions 526 to 896 of the family's 1533-position model. The record is from RNAcentral.
CGUAGGGCGCGAGCGUUGUCCGGAUUUGUUGGGCGUAAAGAGCUCGUAGGCGGCUUGUCGCGUCGACCGUGAAAACUUGGGGCUCAACCCCAAGCCGGCGGUCGAUACGGGCAGGCUCGAGUUCGGUAGGGGAGACUGGAAUUCCUGGUGUAGCGGUGAAAUGCGCAGAUAUCAGGAGGAACACCGGUGGCGAAGGCGGGUCUCUGGGCCGAUACUGACGCUGAGGAGCGAAAGCGUGGGGAGCGAACAGGAUUAGAUACCCUGGUAGUCCACGCUGUAAACGUUGGGCGCUAGGUGUGGGGGACCUCUCCGGUUCUCUGUGCCGCAGCUAACGCAUUAAGCGCCCCGCCUGGGGAGUACGGCCGCAAGGCUA